GUCCCUUCGGGGAUAUCUGAUAAAAUUGAACCGAUACAGAAAAGAUUAGCAUGGCCCCAGUGUAACAAGUUCAGUAAUGAAACAGUAACCAAAAUCU
This 97-nucleotide small nuclear RNA is filed under the name Nicotiana attenuata. Lineage: Eukaryota; Viridiplantae; Streptophyta; Magnoliopsida; Solanales; Solanaceae. The record is from RNAcentral.